RNAcentral lists this transfer RNA (74 nucleotides) under Ceraesignum maximum. RNAcentral describes it as "tRNA-Ser". Lineage: Eukaryota; Metazoa; Mollusca; Gastropoda; Littorinimorpha; Vermetidae. The record is from RNAcentral.
AGAAAAAACAAAUAGUGGUGAGAUCGGGCUGCUAACCUGGUCUUGGGGAGUGAUUAGAGUGCCCCCUUUUUCUU